RNAcentral lists this ribosomal RNA (954 nucleotides) under Triticum aestivum (bread wheat). RNAcentral describes it as "partial small subunit ribosomal RNA". Lineage: Eukaryota; Viridiplantae; Streptophyta; Magnoliopsida; Poales; Poaceae. The record is from RNAcentral.
AUGGUGGGUUCUGCUGCUCUCUAGCUCAAAGUAGACGAUGAGCAAAUCAAACAGCUUCCCACGGGCACGGCCGUCCACUCAGACGUCUUCUCCGCCGGGGGGCACAGUUGGAGGAUUGACUGCUACCCGCAUGGGUCCGAUAAGGACGACAUGGGCGAGUUUUUCUCUAUCUUCGUCAGGCACAUGAGCAAAACCAGAAGAGUCAAAGCCAUCAUGGAUGCCUUUCUGAUGGAUAGGAAUGGCGAACCAUCUGAAACGGUCACACAAAGGUCUUGUGUUCAUGACUUCCCAAUCAACAACGACGGUUAUGACUGGGGGUGGAGCAAGUUCGUUGAUAGAACCACUUUGGAGGAAUAUUACAUGACAGAAGGACAUGUCACAUUUGGGUGCGCUGUCAUGGUCUUAGAUGAUGGCUCUAUUCCCGUGCCACCUUUAGAUAUCCGGAUCCAUCUCGGCUCCGUGCUAGAUAGCAACAACGGGACUGAUUGAUAAUUCAUCAUCGAAGGCGAGGUAUUCCCCGUGCACCGAGUGGUCCUCGCCGCCUGUUCACUGGUGCACGACAUCACGCCAAAGACAUUCAAAGUUAUGCUUCGAUUUUUAUACACCGAUGAAUUGCCUGCAGAAAUCGAGCUCGGUGACUCUCCAACUGAGAUGUUUCGGAAUCUUCUUAUUGCAGCUGAUCGCUAUGCACUUGACCGCUUGAAGAUUAUUUGUGCCAAGAAAUUAUGGGAUAAUGUAUCGGCAGAUACAGUUACAACUACUUUAGCUUGCGCCGAAACGUAUAAUUGUCCGCAAUUGAAGAGCAAUUGCAUUGACUUUUUGUUACUGGAGGAAAAUUUCAAGGAGGCAGUGCUCACUGAAGGUUUUGCAUUGUUGGUUUUGAAAUUCCCAUUGAUCAUUGCUGAGCUCAAAAAUAGGGUUAGGACAUACCAUAGUACUCCCUCUAUCCCAUAA